AGAGUUGAUCAUGGCUCAGGAUGAACGCUGGCGGCGUGCCUAAUACAUGCAAGUCGAACGAGAGUGCUUGCACUCGAGUGGCGAACGGGUGAGUAACACGUAGGUAACCUGCCUCACAGUUUGGGAUACCCAGAGGAAACUUUGGCUAAUACCGGAUAAUGGUGGAAGGCAUCUCCGACUCUAAAAGGGGCCUUUAAAGCCUCGCUGAGAGAUGGACCUGCGGCGCAUUAGCUAGUUGGUGAGAUAACAGCCCACCAAGGCGAGGAUGCGUAGCCGACCUGAGAGGGUGAACGGCCACACUGGAACUGAGACACGGUCCAGACUCCUACGGGAGGCAGCAGUAGGGAGUUUUCGGCAAUGGGGGGAAACCCUGACCGAGCAACGCCGCGUGAGUGAUGAAGGGUUCCUUCGGAUUGUAAAGCUCUGUUGUAGGGGAAGAACGAUAUGAUGAGGAUAUGCUUCAUAUUUGACGGUACCUUAUUAGAAAGCCACGGCUAACUACGUGCCAGCAGCGGC
This 516-nucleotide ribosomal RNA is filed under the name uncultured bacterium. RNAcentral's name for it is "bacterial SSU rRNA". It matches the Rfam family "Bacterial small subunit ribosomal RNA", at positions 8 to 518 of the family's 1533-position model. The record is from RNAcentral.